GACGAACGCUGGCGGCGUGCUUAACACAUGCAAGUCGAACGGAAAGGCCUCUUUCGGGGGGUUCUCGAGUGGCGAACGGGUGAGUAACACGUGAGUAACCUGCCCUUGACUUUGGGAUAACUUCAGGAAACUGGGGCUAAUACCGGAUAGGAGCUCCUGCUGCAUGGUGGGGGUUGGACAGUUUCGGCGGUUGGGGAUGGACUCGCGGCCUAUCAGCUUGUUGGUGGGGUAGUGGCUUACCAAGGCUUUGACGGGUAGCCGGCCUGGGCAGGUGACCGGCCACAUUGGGACUGAGAUACGGCCCAGACUCCUACGGGAGGCAGCAGUGGGGAAUAUUGCACAAUGGGUGGAAGCCUGAUGCAGCAACGCCGUGUGCGGGAUGACGGCCUUCGGGUUGUAAACCGCUUUCGCUCAUGACGAAGCUUUGUGUGACGGUAGUGGGUAAAGAAGCACCGGCUAACUACGUG
Molecule: ribosomal RNA, 467 nt
Filed under: uncultured bacterium
Lineage: Bacteria
Description: partial 16S ribosomal RNA
Rfam family: Bacterial small subunit ribosomal RNA
Source: RNAcentral